AUAUCGCAUAGCCUAGCGCUCCUAGGCUACAAACCUGGACAGCAUGUUACCAUACUGAAUUAUGUGCGCAACUGUAACACAAUGAACCUCCUUUAGACGUCCUUCACUUCCAGGAUCCAGUCCAAACUCCUGGGCUUGGCACAUGAACCCUCCAUCAUCUGGCACCUGGCAGCCCACAUGCUGGAGCCUCACGGAUUUGCUCAUCGCCCUCUGAACACCUGUGGCCUUCUCACUCCUCUGUGUCUUUGCACAUCCUUUCCCCAACCUCAUGCCAGGCCAUUGCAUUGUGAUCCAGGCUCAGUCUUCGUUCUGCUUCGUGGCAUCACAGUCCCUUAUUUGAAACUGAACCAGGACUGCAGUCUUCGACUUUGACAUCAAAUUUGACACCUCAGUGGCCCAAGCUUUCAGAAACUUGGAAUUGCAGACAUUAUGGAUUUGGACCUGCCCUCAGAAGGUUACUAUGAGGACUAAAUACAUUCAAAGUACAUGCAAGUA
Homo sapiens (human) is the source of this 495-nucleotide long non-coding RNA. Ensembl annotates it as long intergenic non-protein coding RNA 1509. The record is from Ensembl. Lineage: Eukaryota; Metazoa; Chordata; Mammalia; Primates; Hominidae.